CCCUACGGGACGCAGCAGUGAGGAAUAUUGGUCAAUGGCCGGAAGGCUGAACCAGCCAAGCCGCGUGAAGGACGACUGCCCUACGGGUUGUAAACUUCUUUUAUAAAGGAAUAAAGUGAGGCACGUGUGCCUUUUUGUAUGUACUUUAUGAAUAAGGAUCGGCUAACUCCGUGCCAGCAGCCGCGGUAAUACGGAGGAUCCGAGCGUUAUCCGGAUUUAUUGGGUUUAAAGGGUGCGUAGGCGGAUUUUUAAGUCAGCGGUAAAAUGUCCGGGCUCAACCCGGGCCGGCCGUUGAAACUGGGGAU
This 305-nucleotide ribosomal RNA is filed under the name uncultured bacterium. RNAcentral's name for it is "bacterial SSU rRNA". It matches the Rfam family "Bacterial small subunit ribosomal RNA", at positions 337 to 640 of the family's 1533-position model. The record is from RNAcentral.